GGUGGCUCAAUGGUAGAGCUCUUGCCUUGCAUGCAUGAGGCCCUGGGUUCGAUUCCUCAGCACCA
Dipodomys ordii (Ord's kangaroo rat) is the source of this 65-nucleotide non-coding RNA. The record is from Rfam. NCBI's taxonomy places the organism in Eukaryota, Metazoa, Chordata, Mammalia, Rodentia, Heteromyidae.